GACGAACGCUGGCGGCGUGCCUAAUACAUGCAAGUUGAGCGAUGAAGAUUGGUGCUUGCACCAAUUUGAAGAGCAGCGAACGGGUGAGUAACGCGUGGGGAAUCUGCCUUUGAGCGGGGGACAACAUUUGGAAACGAAUGCUAAUACCGCAUAACAACUUUAAACAUAAGUUUUAAGUUUGAAAGAUGCAAUUGCAUCACUCAAAGAUGAUCCCGCGUUGUAUUAGCUAGUUGGUGAGGUAAAGGCUCACCAAGGCGAUGACACAUAGCCAACCUGAGAGGGUGAUCGGCCACAUUGGGACUGAGACACGGCCCAAACCCCUACGGGAGGCAGCAGUAGGGAAUCUUCGGCAAUGGACGAAAGUCUGACCGAGCAACGCCGCGUGAGUGAAGAAGGUUUUCGGAUCGUAAAACUCUGUUGGUAGAGAAGAACGUUGGUGAGAGUGGAAAGCUCAUCAAGUGACGGUAACUACCCAGAAAGGGACGGCUAACUACGUG
This 497-nucleotide ribosomal RNA is filed under the name uncultured bacterium. RNAcentral's name for it is "partial 16S ribosomal RNA". It matches the Rfam family "Bacterial small subunit ribosomal RNA", at positions 28 to 507 of the family's 1533-position model. The record is from RNAcentral.